CUUCAUCAUUGUAUACUUAAAUGACAUUCUCAUAUUUAGUGUCACAUGGGAUGACCAUCUUCAUCAUAUUGCUCAAGUUUUGGAGGUUCUACGAACAAAUCAGUUACAGUUAAACGGUAAGAAGUGUGAAUUUAGGAAACAACACCUUGUAUACCUGGGAUUCAUUGUUGGUGCAGAAGAACUGAAAAUUGACCUAGAGAAAGUACAUGUGAUUUCUCAAAUUGCAGCACCCUUACAUUCUCUUAUAAAGGCCAAUCAAAAGUUUGAAUGGUCGAGAAACCAUGAAGAAUCUUUCCAAUUGUUGAAACAAAAGAUUACAGAGGCCCUAGUACUAG
This 335-nucleotide long non-coding RNA is filed under the name Prunus dulcis (almond). Its description in RNAcentral is "sRNA ncRNA". Lineage: Eukaryota; Viridiplantae; Streptophyta; Magnoliopsida; Rosales; Rosaceae. The record is from RNAcentral.